GUUCUUACUUCAGCAGCCCAUAUACUAAAAUUGGAACAACAGAGAAGAUUAGCAUGGCCCCUACACAAGGAUGGCACACAAAUUCAUAAAACGUUCCAUAUUUUU
This is a small nuclear RNA of Artibeus jamaicensis (Jamaican fruit-eating bat), 105 nucleotides long. Lineage: Eukaryota; Metazoa; Chordata; Mammalia; Chiroptera; Phyllostomidae. The record is from RefSeq and is a predicted model, not a curated record.